Non-coding RNA from Ixodes scapularis (black-legged tick), 82 nucleotides. NCBI's taxonomy places the organism in Eukaryota, Metazoa, Arthropoda, Arachnida, Ixodida, Ixodidae. The record is from Rfam.
GCAGUCGUGGCCGAGUGGUUAAGGCAAUAGACUAGAAAUUUAUUGGGGUCACCCUGCACAGGUUCGAAUCCUGUCAACUGCG